Vespa crabro (European hornet) is the source of this 747-nucleotide long non-coding RNA. RefSeq lists it as uncharacterized. The record is from RefSeq and is a predicted model, not a curated record. NCBI's taxonomy places the organism in Eukaryota, Metazoa, Arthropoda, Insecta, Hymenoptera, Vespidae. The transcript has 2 exons.
CGUGGGUGUACUGGAAUGAGAAUUAGGAGGUUGUGUACUAUGGCUGUGAGGUGGUGGCGAAGUCUCUUCCCUUUGGCUUUCAUCCUGACAAACGGGACUGCGUAGAUGCGCAUAACCUCCUAUAAAAGUAAAUUAUAAGAUGGAUAAGCUACAUAGAACAGACUAUGGCCUGAAAUCUCCUGCUCUACGAAGCGUGUAAUUCUGACCUUGCUUGGUAGAUUUUAUUGCCAAGUCAACGAGAGCCGCACCUUAUGCGGCAAUCUAUGUGUAUUGCGUAUAAACACAUCUAGACAUUAAAAAUAUGUUAUAUUGUUUUGUUACGAGCCAUUGUGGGUGUACAUCGAAAUUGAUCGAAAAUGAACUCUCGUAUUUGAAUUCAGUAUACGUUACUAAGAACUUCAACAACGAUUGGAAUGGAUUAUCCAUCUUUUACGAAUUACGAAUUGUAGUUCGAAAUAAUGAAUAAUAAUUGUUUAAAAAAUAUGAUCGAGAGAUAAAAGGUAUUUUCGAUUUUACGUAUAUAAACUCAAUGCUAAAACUAAAAAUCUCAUCGAAUGUGGAUUUGUGGAAAUUAAACAUAAUCAUUGUUUCGUGUCCUCUAUCGUCACAAGAUCAAAUUGACUUCACGUAACUGUUAAUAAAUUCUGUCAAAAGUGCCAUUUCAUUUAAUGAAUUGAUAUUCAUUCAUAAAAAUGUUAUAUGCGAAUCUAUCGGAUAUCUACUUUUAAUAAAUAGAAAUAAUAAAUA